This 379-nucleotide ribosomal RNA is filed under the name uncultured eukaryote. RNAcentral describes it as "partial 18S ribosomal RNA". It matches the Rfam family "Eukaryotic small subunit ribosomal RNA", at positions 592 to 976 of the family's 1831-position model. The record is from RNAcentral.
CAAUAGCGUAUAUUUAAGUUGUUGCAGUUAAAAAGCUCGUAGUUGGAUUUCGGAUGGGAUUUGCCGGUCCGUCGUUACGAUGUGCACUGGCCAGUCCUAUCUUGUUGUCGGGGACUAGCUCCUUGGAUUCACUUCCUGGGACGAGGAGCUGACGAGGUUACUUUGAGUAAAUUAGAGUGUUCAAAGCAAGCCUACGCUCUGAAUACAUUAGCAUGGAAUAACACGAUAGGACUCUGGCUUAUCUUGUUGGUCUGUGAGACCAGAGUAAUGAUUAAGAGGGACAGUCGGGGACAUUCGUAUUUCAUUGUCAGAGGUGAAAUUCUUGGAUUUAUGAAAGACGAACUUCUGCGAAAGCAUUUGUCAAGGAUGUUUUCAUUAA